This 494-nucleotide ribosomal RNA is filed under the name uncultured bacterium. RNAcentral describes it as "partial 16S ribosomal RNA". It matches the Rfam family "Bacterial small subunit ribosomal RNA", at positions 28 to 507 of the family's 1533-position model. The record is from RNAcentral.
GACGAACGCUGGCGGCGUGCUUAACACAUGCAAGUCGAACGGUGAAGCGCCUUCCUUUUUGGUGGGUGUGGAUGAGUGGCGAACGGGUGAGUAACACGUGAGUAACCUGCCCCCUUCUUCUGGAUAACCGCAUGAAAGUGUGGCUAAUACGGGAUAUUCUGGGUCUGUCGCAUGAUGGGUCUGGGAAAGAUAUUGUUUCGGUGGGGGAUGGGCUCGCGGCCUAUCAGCUUGUUGGUGGGGUGAUGGCCUACCAAGGCGGUGACGGGUAGCCGGCCUGAGAGGGUGGACGGUCACACUGGGACUGAGACACCGCCCAGACUCCUACGGGAGGCAGCAGGGGGGAAUAUUGCACAAUGGGCGCAAGCCUGAUGCAGCGACGCCGCGUGAGGGAUGGAGGCCUUCGGGUUGUGAACCUCUUUCGCCAGUGAAGCAGGCCUGCCUUGUUUGUGGGUGGGUUGACGGUAGCUGGAGAAGAAGCGCCGGCUAACUACGUG